Long non-coding RNA from Carassius gibelio (silver crucian carp), 1993 nucleotides. RefSeq lists it as uncharacterized. NCBI's taxonomy places the organism in Eukaryota, Metazoa, Chordata, Actinopteri, Cypriniformes, Cyprinidae. The record is from RefSeq and is a predicted model, not a curated record. The transcript has 3 exons.
AUUCUCUAUGGUAGUGCUUAACACUACGGAUGUGAUAUAUUUGUGGCCACACGUAGAUUUCCCGGCGCUGUUUCGCCUCUUCCGUGGCGCGGAAUUCAAACAGCGGAUACUCAUCUGUCAAUCAUUCGCUCUGAAGGAGAGGAGACGCGUUUUACGAUCGGAGAUUUCUUCACGAAAUUGUUUUGUUUGAACAACAUACGCUGCCAAACUCCCAACAAGCAGGAAUGUUUAGAUGAUGCGUGCUCUGUCAAGACACCCUCCUCCACAGAGUAGGUCACCCUAAAGAUGGUCUCACUCUCAGUCCACCAAAACAUCACACCAGACACUUUGUCAGUGGAGGAUCAAAGGUCAGAAGGGUUUCUUCCAGAUGCAGAACACCACACCAUUGGCCAUAAAAGCGUCCCUCGAUCAGCUCACACUGGACCCCUCAGAACAGCUGGUCUUCGUGUUGGACCAUAGAUGGACAGAUCUGUUGAGAAUUGCCCGUGAACAUCUCUUGGCAAUGCACCAUAGGAGCAAGGAUCUUCUUAAACAGGUCAAAGGCUUUUUCUUUCUUCUUCUGUGUUUUCCACAACUUUAAAUUGUAUUAUUAUUAAUAUUAUUGUAGCUGUUGUUGUUUAAUCUACAAUUUUAAAUUAUUUAAUUGAUUUCCAUUUGUUAAAUAAAACAUCAGAAGUAUUGGCCUUGUUUACACUGUACUUUAGUGUGUUAAUUAAUUGUAUCGACUCUGUAUUGUUAUUUUAUCUUGCUCAGUUUUGUAAACAUGUUAGUUUACAAUGUUAGUUACGGCUAUUAUUAAACUCUGUAAAUAAAUAUUUUAUUUAAAAUACUCUACCAGUCAAAUGUUUUUCAGCAGUAAGAUUUGUAAUGUUUUUUGAGGAGUCUCUUCUGCUCACCAAGCCUGCCUUUAUUUUAUCCAAAAGUACAGCAAAAACAGUAGCAUUUUAAACAUUCUUACUAUUUUAAAUCAGCUGCUUUCUAUUUCAAUUCAAUUCAAGUUUAUUUGUAUAGCAAUUUUUACAAUACAAAUCGUUGCAAAGCAACUUUACAGAAAAUUAUGUUUCUACAAUAUUUAGUAGUAGAUUAAGGCGGUGACUGUCAGUUUGUGCACGUUUGACAGGAUUUUUAGAAAAAUGAAUACAAGUAGUCGUACGUAGUCAGCCAGACUAUGAACAUUAUUAAUAUUAUGAAUAAUUAAUAAUUAUUAUAUGAUGUAGUCACAUGUGUAGCAAUAUUUGUUAGUCUGUUUGUUGAUUCAGGGUUAGCAUCAUCUGAGGUCCUCUGAGGGUCAGCAUCAUCUCUUCUCAGGUGUUCUGGAUCCAGACUGGAGCUUGUGUAAAUCCCGUGGCAAAACAUAGAAACAAAUAGAGACAUCAUUAGCAUAGCUGCUGAUCCAUCAAAGUAAAAUUAAUUAGUUUAACCAAAGAUAAAGAAUAAUAAUGCACUCACAAUUUAAGAGAUAUAUUAUUUGAAAGCUUGGCGAAAGAGAUGUGUUUUUAAUCUAGAUUUAAACAGAGACAGUGUGUCUGAACCCCGAACAUUAUCAGGAAGUCUAUAUAUUUGAAUAUAUACUGUAUUUUAUAUCUCUGAUGUGCAGCUGAAUGGUCAGCAUCAUUCCUCCAGUCUUCAGUGUCACAUGAUCUUCAGAAAUCAGAAUAAUAUGAUGGUUUACUGCUCAAAUCUACUCAAAUCUUACUAUAUAUAUAUGUGUAUAUAUGUUUUUUUUUUUUAAUUUUCAUCAUCAACAUUUUUCAUCUUUAUCAUCACUUUUAAUCAAUUUAAAUCAUCCUUGCUAAAAAAAAGGCGUUAAUUUCUGUCAUUUCUUUCCACCCAAAAGAAUGGUAUAAUCUAUAUUGUUAAGAAAGCUUUUUAUUUCAAAUAAAUGCAGAUCUUUCUAUUUAAAGAAUCCCUGGGGGAUUGUUUUUCUUGAGCAGUAAAUCAUAUUCUGAAGAUUAUGUGACACUGAAGACUUGAGUAAUGAUGUUGAAAAUAC